AGAGGUUUGAUCCUGGCUCAGGAUGAACGCUAGCGGCAGGCUUAACACAUGCAAGUCGAACGGUAACAUAAGAGCUUGCUCUUGAUGACGAGUGGCGCACGGGUGCGUAACACGUAUGCAACCUACCCUUUACAGGAGAAUAGCCCCGAGAAAUCGGGAUUAAUACUCCAUAGUAUCAUAAAACCACAUGGUUUAAUGAUUAAAGCUUCGGCGGUAAAGGAUGGGCAUGCGGCCCAUUAGUUAGUUGGUAAGGUAACGGCUUACCAAGACAUCGAUGGGUAGGGGGUCUGAGAGGAUGAUCCCCCACACUGGUACUGAGACACGGACCAGACUCCUACGGGAGGCAGCAGUGAGGAAUAUUGGGCAAUGGAGGCAACUCUGACCCAGCCAUGCCGCGUGCAGGAAGACGGCCCUACGGGUUGUAAACUGCUUUUAUUUGGGAAGAAACCCCCCGACGUGUCGGGGGCUGACGGUACCAAACGAAUAAGCACCGGCUAACUCCGUGCCAGCAGCCGCGGUAAUACGGAGGGUGCAAGCGUUAUCCGGAUUUAUUGGGUUUAAAGGGUCCGUAGGCGGACCAAUAAGUCAGUGGUGAAAUCUUUCGGCUCAACCGGAAAACUGCCAUUGAUACUGUUGGUCUUGAAUAUGUUUGAAGUGGGCGGAAUAUGGCAUGUAGCGGUGAAAUGCAUAGAUAUGCCA
This 699-nucleotide ribosomal RNA is filed under the name uncultured bacterium. RNAcentral's name for it is "bacterial SSU rRNA". It matches the Rfam family "Bacterial small subunit ribosomal RNA", at positions 1 to 701 of the family's 1533-position model. The record is from RNAcentral.